Molecule: long non-coding RNA, 870 nt
Filed under: Numida meleagris (helmeted guineafowl)
Lineage: Eukaryota; Metazoa; Chordata; Aves; Galliformes; Numididae
Description: lncRNA (ENSNMEG00000009625.1)
Source: RNAcentral
ACAAAAUAGGUCUCUUUUACCUGAGUUCCUUGGAAAAAAUGCUUGUGAAUUGUAUUUUCAUAGGUUCUUCCCUUCAGGAAGAAAAGAGAAAGAGAGGAGAUAUAUAAGCUUGGAAGGACCACCUACUGUGAUGAAAGGUUGAGAUCACUUUUGAGCAUUUUCUAUAGAUCUCCCAGGCAUAAGGAAUACUGAUGACUGGAAUAUCCUCAAUCCUCCAUCAAACUCAACCUUCUAACUCAUAGAUUAGACAGCACUCAGAGAUACUUUCUAUCUGGGAAUACGUGAUGGGAAUCUUGAACACGGACAACUGCAACCAAAGUAUUUAAGAGGACUGCUAUUUUUACCAAGGAAUCAUAUUGAAGCCGGGCAGGAGAACUCAGAACAUCAGAGAUCCUGGAUGGGCCUGUGGAGAGUUGUUUGCAGAAAUCUCUUCAGAUCUAGGAUGAUUGGACGUGCACAGAAGCUGAAUCUAAGAUCUUGAACUACACUAUUAUUCAACGGGGAAGUCAUUUAGUAACAUAAUUGUUAGCACUUGUGUCUUGUGAAUGUUGUAAGAAGAGUGCAGGAAGGUUCUUUACAACCUUAUGAUCUUUGUCUUUUAAUGCAGGAAACAGUCACUGAGUAGUAUAAUGAGGACGUGAAACUUCACUGAAAUUUUCCCAGUAGAAAAUAAUCUUGUGAUAUCUUGGAAGAGGCAGAAGUGCCACCAGUUUCUUCACCUUAUCUUUCAGUUAUUAAUUUCUUCUGAGCACUUGCACCAAAACCCCAGAAGAUCUACAUGAAGGGUUGGAAAUAGUGGGAUACUCAAUGUCUGCAAUAUCUUUCAAAUAACAUAAUAAAUUUCUGCAGUAGCUAAGAAUGCUUUUUGAG